GACGAACGCUGGCGGCGUGCUUAACACAUGCAAGUCGAACGAGACGAUUGAAAGCUUGCUUUUGAAAGUCGAGUGGCAAACGGGUGAGUAACGCGUAGACAACCUGCCUUUGAGAUGGGGACAACAGUUCGAAAGGACUGCUAAUACCGAAUGUUGUAUAUUUUCCGCAUGGAAGAUAUAUUAAAGAUGGCCUCUAUUUAUAAGCUAUCGCUCAAAGAUGGGUCUGCGUCUGAUUAGCUGGUUGGUGGGGUAACGGCCUACCAAGGCGACGAUCAGUAAGCGGUCUGAGAGGAUGAACGGCCAAAUUGGGACUGAGACACGGCCCAGACUCCUACGGGAGGCAGCAGUGGGGAAUCUUCCACAAUGGACGAAAGUCUGAUGGAGCAACGCCGCGUGAGUGAAGAAGGGUUUCGGCUCGUAAAGCUCUGUUGUCGGGGACGAAUGUGCAGUAUUUGAAUAGAGUACUGCAAUGACGGUACCUGACGAGGAAGCCACGGCUAACUACGUGCCAGCCGCCGCCGUAA
RNAcentral lists this ribosomal RNA (524 nucleotides) under uncultured bacterium. RNAcentral describes it as "partial 16S ribosomal RNA". It matches the Rfam family "Bacterial small subunit ribosomal RNA", at positions 28 to 523 of the family's 1533-position model. The record is from RNAcentral.